Cercocebus atys (sooty mangabey) is the source of this 132-nucleotide small nucleolar RNA. Its record names the gene SNORA72. It matches the Rfam family "Small nucleolar RNA SNORA72". Rfam says of the family: U72 is a member of the H/ACA class of snoRNAs. The snoRNA gene is located in intron 4 of the ribosomal L30 protein gene in human, mouse and chicken. The record is from Ensembl. NCBI's taxonomy places the organism in Eukaryota, Metazoa, Chordata, Mammalia, Primates, Cercopithecidae.
UUAUGAAUAUUCUCGCUAUUCCGAUUUUGUAAUAAUCAGGACAGGCUAAACAUUCACAAUAUUAAGACCAUGCAUGUAUCCCUAGACCUAGUUAUUUCCCCAGGUCUGGUUUCAUAAAUGCUGGUGAUAAAA